This 253-nucleotide ribosomal RNA is filed under the name uncultured bacterium. RNAcentral describes it as "partial 16S ribosomal RNA". It matches the Rfam family "Bacterial small subunit ribosomal RNA", at positions 524 to 776 of the family's 1533-position model. The record is from RNAcentral.
UACGUAGGGUCCGAGCGUUGUCCGGAAUUACUGGGCGUAAAGAGCUUGUAGGUGGUUUGUCGCGUUGUUCGUGAAAACUCACAGCUCAACUGUGGGCGUGCGGGCGAUACGGGCAGACUUGAGUACUGCAGGGGAGACUGGAAUUCCUGGUGUAGCGGUGGAAUGCGCAGAUAUCAGGAGGAACACCGGUGGCGAAGGCGGGUCUCUGGGCAGUAACUGACGCUGAGGAGCGAAAGCGUGGGGAGCGAACAGG